CCCAUAGCAACAGGGAAGGAGUUCUGAUAAGAGGGAAACUGUAGCAUCUUGGCCUCCACCUCCAAGUCCACCCAGGUUAUUUAUAACCACGCCGAGCACAUGGCCACUUCCUUGUGUCUGCGUAUUUAACAUCGCCAGCCGUCAUUUCGGAGGGGCACUGUUAAUUAACUUGGGAGAGGGAGGGGAUCACCCAGGAAGGAGGACUUUCUAGAAACACUCCCGUGGGAAGCGUUUCCCGAACUGUGGAAUGCAGGGGCAUGGCCCUGCUGUGGGAAGGCAGGCCUAUGGUCAGCGGUCUCUCACUGUGGAGCCAGGCAGGCAGGGCCUAGCACAGGCAGGAGGGUUUCAAACACAGUCUACCUGCCUGGCACCCAGAGGGAGCUGCAUACCACCAUUCUUGCCACGAAAGACUGGAUUUCAGGGUUUUGGAUCAAUGAGCCACCAGUAGGAACUGGAGGAAUCAAUACCUGGCCCCUGAGAGACAGCCCUCGGUGAUGGCCGACCAUAAGACUGUAUGCUACAACAAAUCCUUUCUCCCCAAAGCUGCAUCUGGCUACAGCACCUUAUCCCAGGGAUAGACAUGAAACCAGGAUUCCCAGAAGAGGUGUCUGAGACCAGCAGGUGCUCACUGAACAACAUCUCUUCCAGGAAGAAGAGAAUGAAGACUGCUUCUAGGAAGCGACAUCUCCAUCAGAAGACAUAAGGUCAGG
This 710-nucleotide long non-coding RNA is filed under the name Mus caroli (Ryukyu mouse). Its description in RNAcentral is "lncRNA (MGP_CAROLIEiJ_G0006156.1)". The record is from RNAcentral. Lineage: Eukaryota; Metazoa; Chordata; Mammalia; Rodentia; Muridae.